This 69-nucleotide transfer RNA is filed under the name Elephantulus intufi (Bushveld elephant shrew). Its description in RNAcentral is "tRNA-Gly". The record is from RNAcentral. Lineage: Eukaryota; Metazoa; Chordata; Mammalia; Macroscelidea; Macroscelididae.
ACUCUUUUAGUAUAAUCAGUACAGUUGACUUCCAAUCAACUAGCUUCAGCCCUCACCUGAAAAAGAGUA